GACGAACGCUGGCGGCGUGCUUAACACAUGCAAGUCGAACGAUGAAGAAAAGAAUCGAAGCUUCGGCAGAAAUUCAUUUCGGAUUAGUGGCAGACGGGUGAGUAACGCGUGAGCAACCUACCUCUUACAAAGGGAUAGCCUCGGGAAACCGGGAUUAAUACCAUAUAUCAUUGCGACGAAGCAUUUCGAUGCAAUCAAAGCUACGGCGGUAAGAGAUGGGCUCGCGUCCCAUUAACCGGAUGGUGAGGUAACGGCUCACCAUAGUGACGAUGGGUAACCGGCCUGAGAGGGUGAACGGUCACACUGGAACUGAGACACGGUCCAGACUCCUACGGGAGGCAGCAGUGGGGAAUAUUGCACAAUGGAGGGAACUCUGAUGCAGCGACGCCGCGUGAGUGAUGAAGGAAUUCGUUUCGUAAAACUCUGUUCUAUGGGAAGAAAAGGACUGUACCAUAGGAGAAAGCUCCGGCUAAAUACGUG
Molecule: ribosomal RNA, 480 nt
Filed under: uncultured bacterium
Lineage: Bacteria
Description: partial 16S ribosomal RNA
Rfam family: Bacterial small subunit ribosomal RNA
Source: RNAcentral